GAGGUUCCCAGGCUAGGCAUUGAAUCGGAGCUCUGCCAGCCUAUACCACAGCCACAGAAGUGCCAGAUCCGAGCCUCAUGUGCAACCUACACCACAGCUCACGGCAACACCAGAUCCUUAACCCACUGAGUGAGGCCAGGGAUCGAACCUUCGCCCUCACGGAUACUAGUCAGAUCCAUUUCCACUGAGCCUCAACAGGAACUCCAAGUUUGGCAUUUUGAAUGUGGGUCUUUCUAACUUGGGCCUCCCUCUCCAAAACCAGCCAUCACGCUACCCUGGAACCCGUAACAGGCAGCAGGGCUGCCUCCCUGCACAUCAAGCUCUCCCAGAGCCCUGGGUGUGUUACUGCAGAGACGCUCUUCGGAUGGAGAGGAUUCUGCCAGAACCACAGCAGCACCCGGGCCCCAAGUGUGCUUUGGGGUGUCGAGGACCGCCAGCCGCGUCUACACUGCCCACAGACGGCAGUGCCAGGAUACUGCACAUGUGCAGGCUAGUCCCCAACCUCAGAUCGAAAACCACCUCUCAAACACAGUCUGUUGCCAGGAGCCAAGAGACUGAGGCAGAUGCCACCAGAGAAAGAGCUGAGGUGAAGGCACAGCUGUGGUGAACCCGCAGAAAGAAGGUGCUGCACAAGGGAGGCAGAAUUUAUUUACACUAAUCACGGAUGCCGCCUCUCAGCUGGAACAUCUCACUUAAAACGCCGGAAGGUUCAGACCCCAUUCAUAAGCUCCUCAGAAAGCGUGCAGUCGCCAUGGUAACCCUAACAUUAUAUUCCUUGGCGGUGGACAUAUAAAUGACCACCUGUAAAGUAUUUAAUACAGUUUGGAGCCACCAAUUCAUAGCAAAAUAAAUCUGACUCUCAGCCUGCCUCUUCGAUAAACAAAGAGGAACAGCUGGAGGAAGUACCCAACUCACCCCAGGAUAAGGACAGGGCUCCACACACCCAAAAAUGCUCCUCUGAAGGCAAAUGAGAGCGAAGGAUAUCACCCUUCAUCAUCCACGCCACAUGGCUGAGAUUUCCUAAAACAAAGUGUUCCCUGCCAGAUUCACGCAGGCUGUCAUCGCUUAAGUUGAAGAAACAAACACAUUCACUCCAUCCACAGCUACAUCUCUAGAAUUUGACCAUGUUUAGCAAGUCAAAGAAAAGGCAGAUCUCUCUAAGGAACAUCUUUUAUCAUUUAUUUAGAGGGCAUCUGUUAACACAAAUAAGGCAGCUGUUCAAACAUCCAAACUGUCCUUAAUAAGAAAUCAAAGUUUUAUUUCCUAGGUUCAGAAGAGAUCUACUCCAUCACAAUUCUUUUCCUGCCUCAGGGAUAUUGACAAACAUUUAAAACAGACAUUAUGCCUGGUUUUUAAAGUCCCUUACCUUCUCCUAAUCCACCGUGAACACCGAGGAGAAAACAAAUCACCAUGCCCUAACUGCAAAGGCAUCUUCGGCCUCACAUUCCCGGGAAGCCCACUGCAUCAGGGCCGUGACAGAGCUGCUGCAGGGCAUGUCUGUGCUGCCAUGGCGUUCCCCCAAACCGCCUCCAUUCUCGGCACUAAUCAGCCAGGUCCAGGGAGCAUCACCUCCGUCAUGCCCUCCUGCAGACUGCAGGCCACCGGCGGCAGUGGCGGUGGCGGCUGCGAAGGCGAGCAAGAGCCCUCACGGGCCGGCCGGCCGUUUCCAUAUUAACAGGGACUUUGGCGAGCGCUGCAUUGCAGUCUUUCUGAAAGCUACCAACCUCGGAAGCAGGAGCGCUGGAGAGACUCCCCAGCACGGGAAGCUGCCUCUGGAAUCACAAAGAUUUUGGAAGGAUCUUUUUUAAAAUGUUGCAAAAACCUGGGGCAGGGGGCAGGUCUAGACUUCCAACCUGUUUCCUAAAGGCUGACGAGCUUGGGGUUUUUCCUAGAGGACGGCUUUGACAACUGAACUGAAAUUAAUGGAACGUGCCUGAUGAUACACCAUCUUUCACGCUCAAGCACUCCCUGCCAGAGUCCUGCACAGCUGCAGCCUCACACCAGCUCCAAGGCCCCUGCGGAGGAGCUACUGGGAGCGAACCAGGACUUUCGUUCCAGAAAAUGCGAGUGCAGCAAGCACUUCUAGUUCCUCUGUGGGCAGCAAUCACCUUGACCACUCAGCUACCUUCCCAGACAGUAAAAACCAUUAUGUGGUCAGAGCACUUGAAAUAGUAAACCAUUGACGCUACAACCAAAGUCAGAAAAAGACAACUUAAAAUAGCAGCGUGCUUACUAAGUGACCUUUAAUUCUGGUUCCUUCAUUCAAUAUAUUUGGUGAGCGCCGACCACGUGCUGUGUGUGAAAGGGCCUGAGCAAGACAGCGCUCACUGUCCUGAUGGUCACAGGCACUCGGUGGGUGGCAAACGGAGGACAUGUCCUUCCACGCAUGAGGACCUGCAUGCGGGAGAGGCCCGCACACCAGGGAGGCAGAGCUGGGGCAGGUCUGGGGGUCCAGGCCAGGGGCUGUGAGGAAGGCCACUGAGCAGGGGCUGAGGGGUGAGCUCCCUGCUGGGGAAGGAGAGGAACACCCUCAGAAUGACACACAGGCGCCUUGGCACGUGCUAUAUUCUUGAGUCCCCAGCAAAAGCGUUGGCAGCUCUGUUCUGAAGCCCUCCUAACCUCCAGGCAGCCUGGGGAAGGCACUGCCACCACCAAGAGCAUCUGGUGGGGGGUGUCUGCACCUGGGCACACCCUUGACGGGGCAUAUGAUCAGGCAGAGGUGCAGAGUCUGAACUGGCGGGCAGCUCUGUACCACGCCACGCGUCGACCCCUGCCCGCAGUUAACAGCCAUCUCCCAGGGAUGCUGGCCACCCCCCACCCACGGCUCCGUUCUCCCCCCAUUAGUCCUGAGCUGACACUGAGCAGGUCCUUGGUAGCAGUAGGGGGUCAGGUGAGGGACUAAGCAGUGAGGGAACGUACUGCCACGUGCUCGUGGAGAGUAGGAGAGGGCAGUGCCUUGCAAACACUGGGCUCUUCUCUUUGCUGCAAAUCCUCCGCUUCCCUUCCUCUGUCUACCUGGCCCCCUACACCGCAGGCUCCAGAAUCCUCUCCUCCACGAAGUCCUCACAGCUCCCUCCCUACCCCAGCAGCAAGGAGCCUUCCUCCGGGCUCUCACCACCCUUCACACUACAAGGAAGUGACAUUUCUGCAAGGACUGACCAUCUGGGCAGUCACCUUUGUACCCGCUGUGGCCAGAGCUUGCAGCGGGCUCUCCACGCCAGCCACAGCUGCACCGAACACUGUCCCUCUGGGAAGGCUUCCAGCAUCAUCCCCAUCUGAGGCACAGACAGGCUCACAGUCCAGAUGAGAGGGCCAGGAGUCCAAGACACCGGGUCCCAGGCUCCCCAGGCCACACCCCACCCAGCCAGGAACUGCUUUUCCAGGCACCCAGCAUCCCGUCAGCCCCACGGGAGAGGACGACGCUCGGCUGUCAGGGGCGGGAUGGGACGCACCUAAGCAAGCACUGCAGCCUUCCCGCACCGUCCCCCCUCUCCAAGGGCAGCGAUGAAAAAAUGAGUAUUUUAAACCAAACCAGAGGCACCUCGUGUGUAAAUUCCUGCCUGGAUAAUCUCACAGCACGCGGUGGGUGAUCAGAAGGCAGGAAGAAAGAGGCAGCAUGAGGGAAUUUCUCUUUGCUUUACAGAGACUCACUAGAGUGGCUGAACAGACUCAGAGGACUCUCAUCAAAGGCCUCCAGGUGCCAGUCUGGGCGCCCCCCCCCCAGAUGAUCCGUGGAACUCUGCCUCUCAGAUCAGGAUCAAGGGCUGCCCUGCAGCGGGCUCGCCCCCAGGGCCCGGGCGGCGGCAGUGCUGGCACGUGCCCCCGCCUGGUCAGCUCGGCCCCGAGCCUGGGCACCAGAAGCCUGGGCUCCAGCCUGAGAGGGCUCCCCGAGGAGGGUGUGCACAGCAAGCAAUGCCUGGAGAGCAGGGCUGACAGCUGACCUGGGGCUGAGCGCCCCUCCAGCCGCAGCAAGGAGAACUGCUUCCGGGGAGUGCACCCUGGACAGUGGGGUGUCCAGGGCCAGAGGUGGAAGGCUGAGGUGGGGGUGAGGAGGUGGAGGCACAGGACCCGCCUUCCAGGCCAACCGUCAACUGGCUGCAAACCAGGGCGGUGAGCGCAUGUCCAGCACGUGGCAGUCCCAGUCGCCAUGGGGUGACUUCUGAUUUGCUCCACUUUACAUGUGAGGAAGAUGCCAGACUUGAACAGAAGUAAUUUUUCAAGUGCACCACUGGGUGCUCAAGCAUGCUGCCCAACUGCUGGCCCUGGACUUGGCACAACCCUCCUGGUGAGGGCAGGUCCUGCUCCCCGCAUCCUGCCUCCUCCCAGCCCAUGCCUGGCGCAGGGCAGAAAGGGCACUCUGUCCCCCAACCAAUCACUCACUCUUUCUUUGUUUUUGUUUUUUGUUUUUUAGGGCUUCACCCACAGCAUAUGGAAGUUCCCUGGCUGGGGUCGAACCAGAGCUGUAGCCGCCAGCCUACACCACAGCCACGCCAGAUCCGAGCCGCAUCUUUGACCUACACCACAGCUCACAGCAUGCUGGAUCCUUAACCAACAGAGUGAGGCCAGGGAUCAAACCUGCUUCCUCAUGGAUGCUCGUCAGAUUCGUUUCUACUGAGCCAUGAUGGGAACUCCACUCACUCUCUGAAUCUGGAAUUUCUUGUCCUAUAAACCUCAGAGAAAUUCCUAUAAACUUUACAGAACUGAUUUGAUUUUUAACUAUUAUAAUGCAUAUGAAAAGUACCUGAAAGUAUAAGCCUCUCAAAAUGUAAGGCACAACUGUUACAAAAUAAAACCACUGUUCACAAAGCACUCAAUUUUUCCAAGCUGAACUUAGUUUAUUUUAUUUUAUUCUGUGGCACAUAGAGGUUCCCAGGGUAGGGGUCGAAUUGGAGCCACAGCUGCCAGCCUAUGCCACAGGCACAGCAACGCCAGAUCCCAGCCACAUCCACGACCUAUGCCGCAGCUUGUGGCAACACUGGAUCCUUAACCCACUGAGCAAGGCCAGGGAUCGAACCCACAUCCUCAUGGAUAUGAGUCAGGUUCCUAAUCCACUGAGCCGCAACAGGAACUCCU
RNAcentral lists this long non-coding RNA (5073 nucleotides) under Sus scrofa (pig). RNAcentral's name for it is "lncRNA (ENSSSCG00060011922.1)". The record is from RNAcentral. Lineage: Eukaryota; Metazoa; Chordata; Mammalia; Artiodactyla; Suidae.